This 2045-nucleotide ribosomal RNA is filed under the name Salmonella enterica subsp. enterica serovar Oslo. RNAcentral's name for it is "partial 23S ribosomal RNA". It matches the Rfam family "Bacterial large subunit ribosomal RNA", at positions 911 to 2925 of the family's 2925-position model. The record is from RNAcentral. Lineage: Bacteria; Pseudomonadati; Pseudomonadota; Gammaproteobacteria; Enterobacterales; Enterobacteriaceae.
UGUUUCGGCUAGGGGGCCAUCCCGGCUUACCAACCCGAUGCAAACUGCGAAUACCGGAGAAUGUUAUCACGGGAGACACACGGCGGGUGCUAACGUCCGUCGUGAAGAGGGAAACAACCCAGACCGCCAGCUAAGGUCCCAAAGUCAUGGUUAAGUGGGAAACGAUGUGGGAAGGCCCAGACAGCCAGGAUGUUGGCUUAGAAGCAGCCAUCAUUUAAAGAAAGCGUAAUAGCUCACUGGUCGAGUCGGCCUGCGCGGAAGAUGUAACGGGGCUAAACCAUGCACCGAAGCUGCGGCAGCGACGCUCAGGCGUUGUUGGGUAGGGGAGCGUUCUGUAAGCCUGUGAAGGUGGCCUGUGAGGGUUGCUGGAGGUAUCAGAAGUGCGAAUGCUGACAUAAGUAACGAUAAAGCGGGUGAAAAGCCCGCUCGCCGGAAGACCAAGGGUUCCUGUCCAACGUUAAUCGGGGCAGGGUGAGUCGACCCCUAAGGCGAGGCCGAAAGGCGUAGUCGAUGGGAAACGGGUUAAUAUUCCCGUACUUGGUGUUACUGCGAAGGGGGGACGGAGAAGGCUAUGUUGGCCGGGCGACGGUUGUCCCGGUUUAAGCGUGUAGGUGUGUGUUCCAGGUAAAUCCGGUUCACUUUAACACUGAGGCGUGACGACGAGGCACUACGGUGCUGAAGCAACAAAUGCCCUGCUUCCAGGAAAAGCCUCUAAGCAUCAGGUAACAUCAAAUCGUACCCCAAACCGACACAGGUGGUCAGGUAGAGAAUACCAAGGCGCUUGAGAGAACUCGGGUGAAGGAACUAGGCAAAAUGGUGCCGUAACUUCGGGAGAAGGCACGCUGACACGUAGGUGAAGUGAUUUACUCAUGGAGCUGAAGUCAGUCGAAGAUACCAGCUGGCUGCAACUGUUUAUUAAAAACACAGCACUGUGCAAACACGAAAGUGGACGUAUACGGUGUGACGCCUGCCCGGUGCCGGAAGGUUAAUUGAUGGGGUCAGCGCAAGCGAAGCUCCUGAUCGAAGCCCCGGUAAACGGCGGCCGUAACUAUAACGGUCCUAAGGUAGCGAAAUUCCUUGUCGGGUAAGUUCCGACCUGCACGAAUGGCGUAAUGAUGGCCAGGCUGUCUCCACCCGAGACUCAGUGAAAUUGAACUCGCUGUGAAGAUGCAGUGUACCCGCGGCAAGACGGAAAGACCCCGUGAACCUUUACUAUAGCUUGACACUGAACAUUGAGCCUUGAUGUGUAGGAUAGGUGGGAGGCUUUGAAGCGUGGACGCCAGUCUGCGUGGAGCCGACCUUGAAAUACCACCCUUUAAUGUUUGAUGUUCUAACGUGGACCCGUUACCCGGGUUGCGGACAGUGUCUGGUGGGUAGUUUGACUGGGGCGGUCUCCUCCUAAAGAGUAACGGAGGAGCACGAAGGUUGGCUAAUCCUGGUCGGACAUCAGGAGGUUAGUGCAAUGGCAUAAGCCAGCUUGACUGCGAGCGUGACGGCGCGAGCAGGUGCGAAAGCAGGUCAUAGUGAUCCGGUGGUUCUGAAUGGAAGGGCCAUCGCUCAACGGAUAAAAGGUACUCCGGGGAUAACAGGCUGAUACCGCCCAAGAGUUCAUAUCGACGGCGGUGUUUGGCACCUCGAUGUCGGCUCAUCACAUCCUGGGGCUGAAGUAGGUCCCAAGGGUAUGGCUGUUCGCCAUUUAAAGUGGUACGCGAGCUGGGUUUAGAACGUCGUGAGACAGUUCGGUCCCUAUCUGCCGUGGGCGCUGGAGAACUGAGGGGGGCUGCUCCUAGUACGAGAGGACCGGAGUGGACGCAUCACUGGUGUUCGGGUUGUCAUGCCAAUGGCACUGCCCGGUAGCUAAAUGCGGAAGAGAUAAGUGCUGAAAGCAUCUAAGCACGAAACUUGCCCCGAGAUGAGUUCUCCCUGAGACUUAGAGUCUCCUGAAGGAACGUUGAAGACGACGACGUUGAUAGGCCGGGUGUGUAAGCGCAGCGAUGCGUUGAGCUAACCGGUACUAAUGAACCGUGAGGCUUAACCUUACAACG